Molecule: ribosomal RNA, 492 nt
Filed under: uncultured bacterium
Lineage: Bacteria
Description: partial 16S ribosomal RNA
Rfam family: Bacterial small subunit ribosomal RNA
Source: RNAcentral
AGUGAACGCUGGCGGUAGGCCUAACACAUGCAAGUCGAACGGCAGCACAGUAAGAGCUUGCUCUUACGGGUGGCGAGUGGCGGACGGGUGAGGAAUACAUCGGAAUCUACUUUUUCGUGGGGGAUAACGUAGGGAAACUUACGCUAAUACCGCAUACGACCUACGGGUGAAAGCAGGGGAUCUUCGGACCUUGCGCGAUUGAAUGAGCCGAUGUCGGAUUAGCUAGUUGGCGGGGUAAAGGCCCACCAAGGCGACGAUCCGUAGCUGGUCUGAGAGGAUGAUCAGCCACACUGGAACUGGGACACGGUCCAGACUCCUACGGGAGGAAGCAGUGGAGAAUAUUGGACAAUGGGCGCAAGCCUGAUCCAGACAUACCGCGUGGGUGAAGAAGGCCUUCGGGUUGUAAAGCCCUUUUGUUGGGAAAGAAAAGCAGCAGGUUAAUACCCCGCUGUUCUGACGGUACCCAAAGAAUAAGCACCGGCUAACUUCGUG